Molecule: ribosomal RNA, 527 nt
Filed under: uncultured bacterium
Lineage: Bacteria
Description: bacterial SSU rRNA
Rfam family: Bacterial small subunit ribosomal RNA
Source: RNAcentral
AGAGUUUGAUCAUGGCUCAGAUUGAACGCUGGCGGCAGGCCUAACACAUGCAAGUCGAGCGGUAACAGGGGAAGCUUGCUUCUCGCUGACGAGCGGCGGACGGGUGAGUAAUGUAUGGGGAUCUGCCCGAUAGAGGGGGAUAACUACUGGAAACGGUAGCUAAUACCGCAUAAUCUCUAAGGAGCAAAGCAGGGGAACUUCGGUCCUUGCGCUAUCGGAUGAACCCAUAUGGGAUUAGCUAGUUGGUGAGGUAAUGGCUCACCAAGGCGACGAUCCCUAGCUGGUCUGAGAGGAUGAUCAGCCACACUGGGACUGAGACACGGCCCAGACUCCUACGGGAGGCAGCAGUGGGGAAUAUUGCACAAUGGGCGCAAGCCUGAUGCAGCCAUGCCGCGUGUAUGAAGAAGGCCUUAGGGUUGUAAAGUACUUUCAGUUGGGAGGAAGGCGUUGAUGCUAAUAUCAUCAACGAUUGACGUUACCAACAGAAGAAGCACCGGCUAACUCCGUGCCAGCAGCCGCGGUAAUAC